GGGCUCUGAGCGGACCAGGUGGGGCUGGCAGUCUGCAGGCGCCGCUGCCCCCUGCAGCCUCGGCGUCCACGGCUGUAAGCAGCUGGCGGUGGAGGGCCGAGCCCUGGGCUCAGGCGACCUGACCUUCAUUCCAGCUGCCCUCCCUGGGACAAGCAGUUCAAGAACCACAUCCGCUUCCCAGCGGUUGGUGAGGACGCGAGCACGCAGUCAGCGUGGAACUUUAGGGCGGUGCCCACACUGUCAGCAGGAUUCCAGAAGGCUCCUUGUGGCAGUUUUGCUGAACCGAGGCAGCCAGCGGAGGACCCGGACAGCGUGCCCCCCAUCGACGUCCUCUGGAUCAAAGGGGCCCGGGGGGGCGACUACUUCUACUCCUUCGGGGGCUGCCACCGCUAUGCGGCCUACCAGCAGCUGCAGCGGGAGACCAUCCCAGCCAAGCUUGUCCAGUCGACUCUCUCAGACCUGCGGGUGUACCUGGGCGCUUCCACGCCGGACUUGCAAUAGCAGCCUCCUCGGCACCUGCCACCGCUCCCAAGAGCCCAGAAGACGCGGUGGCCUCCGGUGGGCCGGGCCACACAGCGGGCGCAGGAGGGGUGCGUUCUCUCCAAGCCUCCGGGAGGCUCUGACUCUCAGCACCUGUUUGCCAGCUCUUGGACUCACAGCCGAACAGUGUGGGAGCCUCAGUUCCCUCUGUGGUCAUGGGGUCAUGGCCUCGACCUUGAGGGAUUAUUGAGAGGAUGACACGAGAAAGGAGAUGGGUUUGGAGAGCCACAUGCUGCUGGCUCCAGAUUCCCAAAGACAAGGAUCCUGCUGCAUUUUUGUCUUCAUAUAUCCUAUUUUUAUGGAAUACACUCAGCUGCAAGUAAAGGACAAACUAGCUUACAGUGGCUAGACAAAGAGAAGUUGUGUUUCCGCACAGCAUGAAUUCUGGAGACAGGUGGCUGAUGGUGUUGAUUUAACAACUCAGUAAAGGAGGGCUCACAUUUCUAUUAUCCUUUUGGCCUUUCCCUCAUGGCUUGUUACCUCAUGGUCACAGGAUGGCUGCUGUACCUCCAGGAAUCAUGUCUGUCUUCAAGGAAGAAAGGAGUGGGGGAUGAGGAAGGCCAAGCCAGCUGGACUUGUCGACCUCUCUCAUAAAGUCAAACCUUUCUCAGAGGCCUGCUUCCUGCUGUCUCUCCCUGCAUAUUUCCUUGGCCCAAACCAGCUACCGUUGCCACCUCUAGCUGCAAGGAAAGCUAAGACAGCAGGAACAGAAUUGUCAUAGUUGAGUAGACCAGUCACAUCCCAUCUCCUGGGACUGGCACGCAGCCUUCUGAAAUAAAAUUGGGAUGCCACUGCCAAGAGGGAAAUGAGGGAUCAUGCAUUAGUUAGUCAGGCUUUGCUGUGUAACAAACCAGCCCAAAACUUAGCAGCGAAAAACAAGUCAUUUACUUGCCCACGGUUCUGUGGGUUGGCCGUUUGGGCUGGGCUCAUCUGGAUGGUUCUGCUGACCUCGCCUGGGGUCAUUGUGGGGCUGCGUGCUGUCAGCUUCACUUCACUGGGGCUGGGUGGCCUCCAAUAGCCUUACUCCCUGGUCUGGCCGUUGGCGGGCUGUUGGCUGGGUGACACGCUCUCCUUCAUGUGGCCCGUCCAGCGAGUCAGCUCGGGCUUAUUCACAUGAUGGCCUCAGGGUUCCGAGAGUGAGGGGAGGAGCUGCAAGGCCCUGGCGUUUGAGCCCAGAAGUGGCACAGCAUCCCUUCUGCGCAAUUCUUGUCAUCAGGGCAAAUCGUAGGGCCGGCCCCAAUUCAAGGGGCGGGGAAACAGGCUACACCUCUUAACGGGAGAAACUGCAACGAAUUUGCAGCAGUUUUCGUCUAUCACACAUGAUUCUGCACAGGCAAAUAACAGUAUUUCCCCCUCCGUUUCUCUCUCCUUUACACAGGGCUGUGCUCCACCCAGGCUGAGGUCUCUCAGCCAUUGUCCUGGCCCCCCAGUCUAGGAGAGUUAGUGAUGGGCGUGCGGUGGCUCUCUCCACUCAAGCAGGAGCAUCUCUCAUUGUCUGCACUGGUGGGAGGGGUGGGCCCGGUGGGACACUCCGAAGGGGCUUCUGAAUUCCUAGAGUCCGGGGGGAAGGGAGAGGCAGAGCGAGGGUGCAGAGUGAGGUGGGCCCUGCCAGGGGAGCUCGGUCACUUGUGUUUUCGAGUCUCAGUGUCCCAGCUCAGUAUGGAAGACGACAGCUUUCCCACCCAUUCUGUGUCCAGGGAGAGACAACUGAGGCGACCAAUAGAAUUUGAAAGGAGCAUAGUCCCAAAUGCAAUGUGAUAUCCUGGAUUGGGUCUUGGAACAAAAAAAGGAGCAUUGGUGGAAAAGCUGGAAAUCUGAAUAAAGUCUGGAUUUCAGUUAAUGAUCAUAGAGUAGUGCUGAGGUUGGGGUAGGCUGGCUGCGGAGUAUAUGGGAACUCCCUGUGUUAUCUUUGCAGUUUUUCUGUAAAUCGAAAAUCAUUCCCAAAUAAAAGUUUAUUUGAUAGAAGGAAGGGUGUCAUUGCUUUUAGACCAAUGGUUCAGGUUCUCAAACGGGUUUGCUUAAACUCUGAUGGCUGGGCCCCACCCCCGGAGUUGCUGACUCCGUGAGUCUGGGGUGGAGCCUGAGAACUGGCUUUUCUAGUAAGUUCCCAGGUGCUGCUGCUGCUGCUGUCCAGGGGCCACAGGCUGAGAAGCCCUGAUCUAGUCUGCGCCAGUUAUUUUCGAAUGUGGUGGCACACCCUCCACACCUGGUGGGCUGGGUCCCAGGAGAUCCGUGCUCUGGGACCGGCUUGCGCAGCCAUUCAUCAUGUGACAUUGGACAAACCCGUCCCUGGGGGCUUCUUACAAGCUGUCAAAUGGACUGUCUACCCCCAAGGUUUGUAGCGAGGGUCAGAAAGCCGAAGACAGGCUUUGUAAACUGGUGUGUGCAGUGCCACCGUCUCCCGUAAGUGAUCACCUGCUGCAUCCGCUGGGCUAGGGUGACAGAGUGCUCGCCCCUCCCUGACAGAGCUUUCCGUUCUCGCAGAUGAGACGCGAGCAGGUAGCGCUGGGGGCCCUGCUAGGCAGCGGAAGGGGUUGGGAGCUGGGUUUCGAAGGGCGAGACCUGCCGGCUGCUCUCAGCGGAGCCCGCGAGCUGCGUUUCCCGCUGACGCCAGCAGGUGGCGCCGCUCGCCGGCCUGCGGGGCAGGGCUGGACUUCCAGCCCCAGAGCAGCGGUCUGGGAGGAGGGGCCUGGCUGGGAGUCUGGAGUUUCAGGUUCUGCUUAUCCUGUCCACUCUUGCUCUGUGGCCUUGCACACGUCACGGCCUCUCCAGGCCUGUCGUCUAGUCUACACUGGGGGUGCUGGGCCAGAUGGUCCAGGGUCAACAAAGGUAGCACCUCCUCCAAGAAGCUUCCAGAUCCUCUAAGCUGAGCCAUAUGCCUCUUCUGGGCUCCCCAGUCCAACUGUGUGUCCCCUCCCUAGACAAACCACUGCCCCCCAGGAACUUGGGUGCAAUGAGAGGCAGUGUGUAGGGACCCCUUGGGCCUUUCACUGCCCUGCAACCCACCCCCUUCACUAAGGCAGGUUUUUAAGACUUUUUUAAUUUCACAAGUUAUAUGGGAGUAUAUUCACCUUUAAGACAUUAAGAUAUAAAAAUGCUAAAUAAUUAAAUAUGUAAAAAAUAAAAUAUUAGAGUCCAGUUGCAGCCCCAGUCCUGGUUGCCCCUGUGCCCUCCCUACUUGGGGCGACUACCUUCAUGAAUUUGGUGUAUACCCUUCCAGACCUUUUUCUAACUUUGUAGCGGUGUAUGUGUGUGGAAGUAAAGAAUGCUUUUCUUUUUCCCAUUACUUUGCAGAUCGCAUUUCUUGCCUGGCAUGUGCCCUGGCCAUCAACCCCAUUAGUGUCUUUGCUCUUCUCCCAGAGUCUCCUCAUUCAGGUCACUUCGUCAGAGGGGCCUUCCCUGACCACACUGUCUAAAACAGCCCCCUCCCCCAUCAUUCUGUCACCCUACUGAGUUUUAUUUUCUUCAUGGCAUUUCUCACACUCUCUGAAAUGAUCUUCCGUGUCUGUUUAUGUCUGUCUCACCCACUAGAAUGAGUCUUGAGGCAAGACUUGAUCUGUCUUGUUUAUCACUGUCGGCCCAGUGCCAAAAACUGUGCCUGAUGUAUGAUAAGUGUUCGAUAAAUAUCUGCGGAAUGAAUAAUUCCACGUAGGUCUAGCUCCUUCUUUUCAUCGCUGCAGCACAUUCCAGGGUCUGAAUAUAACCAUUUUGUAGUCUUUCUCCUGUUCAUGGGCAUCGGG
This is a long non-coding RNA of Equus caballus (horse), 4280 nucleotides long. Lineage: Eukaryota; Metazoa; Chordata; Mammalia; Perissodactyla; Equidae. The record is from Ensembl.